UACGGAGGGUGCAAGCGUUAUCCGGAUUUACUGGGUUUAAAGGGUGUGUAGGCGGACUAUUAAGUCAGCGGUGAAAUCUCCGGGCUCAACCCGGAAACUGCCAUUGAUACUAUUAGUCUUGAAUGUUGUGGAGGUGGGCGGAACGGGUCAUGUAGCGGUGAAAUGCAUAGAUAUGACCCGGAACACCGAUUGCGAAGGCAGCCCGCUACGCAACUAUUACGC
This 222-nucleotide ribosomal RNA is filed under the name uncultured bacterium. RNAcentral describes it as "partial 16S ribosomal RNA". It matches the Rfam family "Bacterial small subunit ribosomal RNA", at positions 524 to 746 of the family's 1533-position model. The record is from RNAcentral.